GACGAACGCUGGUGGCGUGCUUAACACAUGCAAGUCGAACGGGAUUUAGUAAACAGAAGCCUCGGUGGAAGAUUACUAAUGAGAGUGGCGAACGGGUGAGUAACGCGUGAGCAACCUGCCUAUGACAGUGGGAUAGCCUCGGGAAACCGGGAUUAAUACCGCAUAAAAUCGUAGAAACACAUGUUUUAACGGUCAAAGAUUUAUCGGUCAUAGAUGGGCUCGCGUCUGAUUAGCUAGUUGGUGAGAUAACAGCCCACCAAGGCGACGAUCAGUAGCCGGUAUGAGAGGAUGAACGGCCACAAUGGAACUGAGACACGGUCCAAACUCCUACGGGAGGCAGCAGUGGGGAAUAUUGCACAAUGGGGGAAAACCUGAUGCAGCGACGCCGCGUGAACGAAGAAGGUAUUCGUAUCGUAAAGUUCUGUCCUAUGGGAAGAUAAUGACAGUACCAUAGAAGAAAGCUCCGGCUAAAUACGUG
This 478-nucleotide ribosomal RNA is filed under the name uncultured bacterium. Its description in RNAcentral is "partial 16S ribosomal RNA". It matches the Rfam family "Bacterial small subunit ribosomal RNA", at positions 28 to 507 of the family's 1533-position model. The record is from RNAcentral.